GCAAAUAUUAUUUGUCACUUUCAUUCACUUUAUACUCAUUCGAUAGCAUUAGAAUGUCAAAUUUUUCAUGUCAUUCCUUAAGAGUUUAUUUUUGACCUCACAAAGAAUUAUCUAACUUACAGAACUUGUUUUCUAGUCCAUGAAUCACAAAACCUUCAGGUUGUUUAAUAUAGACUUCUUCUUCUAGUUCACCAUAAAGAAGGCAACUUUCACAUCCAUUUGGAGUACUAUCGAGUUAUGAACGGCGGCUAAAGGGACUAGUACUCUUAUGGAUAUGAUUCUAGUGACUGGUGAAUAAGUGUCGAAGAAGACUAUAUUUUUCUCUGUCUAAAACCUUUGACUACAAGGAGAGCCUUGUAUUCAUCAACCGUACCAUCAGGUUUUAGUUCUUUUUCCUAAAAUCCAAAUACAACCGAUUAGUUUGCAACUAUGAGACAAGUCAACCAAGUGUCUUGUUUUGUUAGACUCUAGAAAAUCCAUUUCAUCGUUUAUUGCUUCUUGCCAUAAUUCAGCAUCCAAUAAGGAUAUAGCUUCUUUAAGGCUUAAUGGAUAUUCUUCCAAUGUAUAAACCGAGUUCAUACUCUUUAGCUAUUCUAGCUUUCCUACCUCCUCGAGGUUCUAUAACAUCUGGUACGAUGUUUUCAUAACUAUUUCUGAUUACAUGAAUGUGAUCAGAUAUAGUGCCCCCACUAGUUCUUAAUUUUUAGAAGGGAAUUUAUUUUGCCCCCACUAAUGUCGUGCUCCCACUAGUGCCCCCACUAUUCUUUAGUUUAAAGGGGUAAAUAUUUACAUAGAAAUCGGCGUCUUUUAAUUCUAUGAUCACUUUAACAUUUAGGUCAUAAAACCUAUAUGUUUCGCUAUUUAUAGCAUACCCAAUGAAUAUACAUUCAUAGGCUCUACUAGUGAGUUCAACUCUCUUGGGGUCCAGAAUCUAAAUAUAGUCCAGACAAUCCCAAGUUCAAAAAAUAAGACAAGUUGGGUUGUCUUUUCUUCAAAAAUUUCUUAAUUAGAAUUUUUGUUCUUAGACUUGGGUACUCUAUAAAUUUCAAUUUUCGUUAUAAAAAUUGAACAUAUCAAGCAUAUCAAUUUUAUUUUCCAAAAUUCACAGUCAUCAAUAAAUAUGAUAAAAUAUCAUUUUAUCAUUUCUAGUUUAUGUGCCAUCAAGUUCACACAUAUCAUAAUCUAUUAUAUUUAGAGAUUCAUAUUCUCUAAAUUCUGAUUUAUAUGAACUUUUGGUUCAUAUAUCUUGACUGCAAUAAAUAAAAUUGUCUAAUCAUAUAACGUUGGAAUUAAGUCCAAGUUACUCGAGUUUAAAAUUAAACGCUUGUUCACAUGUCAAAUAUUAAAAUCACACAACUAAUAAAAUAGAAGGAGAAUUUUAAUUUUGAACCUACCAUUAAAGGUGCAAUCUUUUCCCACAUAAAUACAUGAUACACAAGUCUUUCUUUAAGUCUGAGUUAACUCAGUCUUAUUCAAUAAAAAUCUGAAAUUCAGAUUCUUUCUUAUUUUUAAAGCAUGCAACAAGUUCAAACCUUAGCAUUAGCAUCAAGGGAAAAAUGGGUAUUCUAAAUUCUUGCAUUUUAAUAUGCUAACUUGCGACUCUGUAUACCCAACAAUAUGCCAUAAAAGUACCUAUACCAUUUGUAUAAUUCGUUGCAUAAGUUAUGGCCAUUCUUCUUACUGUUUGAAAAAACAUCACCUUUACGUGACAUAGAUUUUUCAAUUCUGGUUACUGUUUUAGUGAUUAACGUAACAAACUAAACUUGUUUGGUUCUGUGACGAAUAAUUUGUUUUGUAACAACAAAUUAUAGUCUUAAGCAAAUAUUGUUCGAUUUUUUAUUUUAUUCACGAUAUGGUUUUGAUUUUUGAGAACAAAUUUCAAUCAAAUUCAAAGUCACAUACGUGAAUUUCUUAGUGUUGUUGUUUAUAACUACAACCACUUCAUCGUUUCAGUCAAAAGAUGUAUUUCUAUAGCUUGAUUUAUCCUUAAUGUGUUCAGGGACAACUUAACCUCAAUAAAUAACUUCUUCGGUAGACGUAGCAGAUCGAAACGUCUUAAAAUUGUUGUUUUUGGAUUUCCAAACUGUUGUAUUUGGAUUUCCAAAUUCUAUUAUCUACCGAAGUUGUUACUAGGUUGAGUCACGACCAGAUCGCUCUCUUUAAGACGUUUCGUGGCACUGCCCAAAAUUGUGCAAGGCAGACUAUCAACCACGCCGCCUCCAAGAUAAAACAAGCCCAGCUACAACUGUUCGAUUAACUACUGCACCGUAGAAAAUCGUUCGAGAAUUACACCUCCAAAUAUGGUACUAAGACCACUCUUUAAUACUGAAACCACUUUAAUAUGGCACUGUUACCACUCUAUAUGGUGCUGAGACCACUCAAAUAUGGUGUUACCACCAUUCUAAUUAUUAACUUCUCCAACUAUGAUACUAUGAUCACUCAAAUAUGGUUUUACACCAUUCUAACGUCUAACUUCUUCAAGAAUCGAAGAAGAAUAUAUUUUAAGAUCAUUCAUAUUUUUGAAGGGACAUUAUACCGAAAAGGGACUAUGAUCUUAAAUUAUUAUUUAUUCCGAAGGACAUAAAAAUAUCGAAGGGACUAUGAACUUAAGACCAUUCUUAAUUCCGAAGGGACAUUUAAACCGAAUAGGGACUAUGGUCUUAAGAACACUCUUUAUUCCGAAGGGACAGAAAAAGGAGAUGAAGAGAAGAAAGACUCGUCAACACAAGUCAAGGGAGAAGAGAGAAAGAGUUCCCGACAACUCAAUAAAACUCUUUGGUGUGUUUUUUGAACUGAGUGGAGUCCUCUAUUUAUAUAGAGAUUCUGUAACUGUUUUAGCAAAAAUUGUGACAACAGUUACUCUAGUGGAUAAGAUUAAAAUGAAGUUUAUCCAUUAAUCAGUUCAACAACACUUGUGGAUAGGAUCAAAAGAAACAAAUCCACAAAAGUGGAGGAAACAAACUAUUGGAUUUGAAUGAAGGAAAUAUAAUAAUAAUUAAAUUAUUAUUCUUAUCACAACCACCAUAAGCUAAAUUUAUGGAAAGUGAUAUUCUCGAAUAAAAUAAUAAUUACUAUUAUUUUUAUCACUAUCAAGUAUUUAAAAUUAAAUACCACAAUUUAAACACUACUAAUGUGUGUGUUCUAUUUUAUGCGGGACCCCCACACUCUAUUUUUUCAAUUCACACAACAUUAGAUCAAAGUAUAAUUACUUGGUGUUUAAUCUUUCAAUUUUUCAUCCAACAUCACAUCAAUGUUCCAACAAUCCCCCACUUGAAUUUAAAAAAUGGUUUCAAUAAUAACGUCAAAACGUUUCUAUAAGGUUGCUAAUAAACAAAGGUGUCGCCUACAACUUGAACCUUUGCAUAGCGGAUAAUAUUCCGAUUUAACAAGAGUUGCUUACAGCAUUGAACUCUAUCUCAGACAUAGAACCCACACACAAACCUUUUCCUAAGGUGUAUUCUAAAAGCUCGUGCGUUUUAUGGCCCUGCACGUCUAUCCCGGUUUUAACGAACGUUCUAGGUAUUCUGCCCCGAAUACCAUAGGAAUCGGCCUAAGUUCCACAUUCGCAUAGGUGAGUCUAUCAAGAGUACUCCUGUAGCUAGGUACUCCACUCCACAUAGAGUAUAGAUCUCAUUAAGAGUUUCUAUUAUCUCAUCCUUCUGUCACUGCAGGAAUCAUGCUUUCUUACUUUUCUCAUAGCAUGUUCUAUCACUCAUGACUUGUUAUUACCCAUUGAACCUAUUUCUUGGGAUCUCCAAUCAUGUAGGUCGGGUUACCAUCACUUGUGACCUUUGGGCAUUAGUCCCAUCCUAUUGGAUGUGUUUAGGACUUUCUUUCUAGUAAUUCCUUUCGUCAAAGGAUUGACUAAUUCUUUAUCAGUACGUGCACGAUAUACUUUAACCGUUCCUUUUAGAGCUCUCUAAUCAUUCUGUGUUCGUGCCUUAAUUAUCGUCUCUCACCAUUGUGGUAACGAUUCUCAAUUUUGUAAUAGCUGCAGACUAUCACAAUAAAUUAACACUUCGGACAACGGUUUCACCCACUGAGGGUUCUUAGCUAGCAAGCAUCUUAUCAACUUGCUUCUUCACUAGUUUUCUCUAGUGUUCUCAUCUCAGAUUCAUUCCAUAAUAUCAUUUGUUUCAACAAAUAACUCCUCCAGUGAUGCUCAAUGGGCAGUCACUGGUCGCUUUGAGACUCAUCUGAAGGAUGUUCAAUUUUUUAUCUUGUACCACUCAUGUACAAUAUGAUACUUCUCAUUUGUAUCUUGUACCAUUCAAGUACAAUAGGAUACUUCUCAUAAUGUAAUCCUAGAGUCAUAAUCUUCUUAAGGCACCUCAUGACUCUUUCAAUAGCAUGUCAAUGCUUCUUAUCCGUCUACUAAUAAACUUGAACAAAAAUCUCAUGACGUGGCCAACGUCGAGUCUAAUACAUUCAAUGGCGUACCAUCUCAAGUGUUCUUGAAAGGUUUUAUACUUGCAAGUUUAUAGUCAAAUAAUUACAUUCCUUAAGAUAUUCUCAACUUUGUGAGAUUCAUCAGAAAAGUUCUCUUUUCUGAUCUAGUAAUCUUGAAACCAAGAAUUACUUCAACUUUGUCUAGGUCUUUCUUAUCAAUGUUAUUGAUAAACAAUGAUUUCAUAUAAUUCAUAACAUGAAUCGUUAAACCAAAUAUGAGCAAGUCGUCUUCAUAGAGACAUAUGAUCGUGAAAAUAUUAUUUGUCACUUUCAUUCACUUUAUACUCAUUCGAUAGCAUUAGAAUGUCGAAUUUUUCAUGUCAUUCCUUAAGAGUUUAUUUUAGACCUCACAAAGAAUUAUCUAACUUACAGAACUUGUUUUCUAGUCCAUGAAUCACAAAACCUUCAGGUUGUUUCAUAUAGACUUCUUCUUCUAGUUCACCAUAAAGAAGGCAACUUUCACAUCCAUUUGGAGUACUAUCGAGUUAUGAACG
Molecule: long non-coding RNA, 4943 nt
Filed under: Medicago truncatula (barrel medic)
Lineage: Eukaryota; Viridiplantae; Streptophyta; Magnoliopsida; Fabales; Fabaceae
Description: long non-coding RNA (MTRU_LNC008679)
Source: RNAcentral